RNAcentral lists this unclassified non-coding RNA (899 nucleotides) under Hevea brasiliensis (rubber tree). The record is from RNAcentral. Lineage: Eukaryota; Viridiplantae; Streptophyta; Magnoliopsida; Malpighiales; Euphorbiaceae.
GCACUUGCGACUUCCAAGGGUAUUUCGUGUUGCCAAGAGACUGGAAGUUGACUAUGCACCUGCCAUGGUUGGUUUUGAAUUCAAAAGUGGUCGAUCUGUUCCUGUCUUUGAGGGAAUUGUGGUGUGUGCUGAGUUCAAGGAUGCCAUAUUAGAGGCUUAUGCUGAAGAAGAAGAAAGAAGAGAAACUGAAGAAAAGAAAAUACACGAAGCACAAGCUAUUUCUAGGUGGUAUCAACUUCUUUCGUCCAUCGUAACUCGACAAAGGUUAAAAAACUGUUAUGGGAACAGUUCGUUACAAAUGUCAGGCAACAUCAAAGAUACAAAUUACAAAUCAGAUGUACAUGACAGUAGUCAACCUCAUAAGCAUCCCAGGGGAUACCAGAAAGAAGACAAGCAGAAUCCUGAAUCAGGAGCUCCUCCAGUAGUUCAAACAGAAGAUCAUGAGCAUGUAUUUUUGGCAGAAGAUCAGAGUUUUGAUGAGGAGAGUUCAGUGAGGACGAAGCGGUGUCAUUGUGGAUUUUCAGUCCAAGUGGAGGAGUUAUAGCACUACUAAUGCAAGAUCUAUCACAUGAUGGUUCCUGAACAAACCAGUUUCCAGAUCAAAUCUUUCAAUUUUGUCAGGAAGUGAAGCCCAUUGUAUUCUUCAAUCUGGUCGUGUAAUAUUGUGUAGCUCACUGCUCUAAUUUACUUCCUUUUUGGUCUAUGUAUAAUUUGCGCUAUUAGUCAAGCCUGAAUAUUUUCCAAGAUGAGAAAAUGUGAUGGCUAUAUGUCAUUUUCCAGGAAAAUACCGAUGCACUGUAUCUCAUAUCGUGAACUGGGUUCGUGCUGCCCGUUUAAGGGGAAGUCUGCAAUUAUUUGUUCAACUUGUAGAUGUAUAAUUAUUCUCUGAACUUUCAAGG